Non-coding RNA from Pelobates cultripes (western spadefoot toad), 219 nucleotides. The record is from the annotation of a GenBank genome assembly. Lineage: Eukaryota; Metazoa; Chordata; Amphibia; Anura; Pelobatidae.
GUUUCCCGGCCUGCUGGGACAAGAUAACCGGAGAUGCCCUCUUUGACCACAAUAAAGACAUAGUCCCUCUCUUCUUCUGUGUUGGCAUUCUGCCUCGGUUAACCUAGUAGCCCCUACUUGCAUGGGUUCGGGCAAGGCAAGUGCCAUAGAAUUAGAGGUAUUAGGUAAGGGUGUGGUAUAACUAGGGGUUCUUCUAGUUCUGUCUCUAGUGUUCUCCCU